CUUGGCACCUAGUAAGCACUCA
RNAcentral lists this microRNA (22 nucleotides) under Canis lupus familiaris (dog). Its description in RNAcentral is "Cfa-Mir-1271_5p (mature (guide))". The record is from RNAcentral. Lineage: Eukaryota; Metazoa; Chordata; Mammalia; Carnivora; Canidae. RNAcentral also lists the same sequence under 1 other name.